This 507-nucleotide ribosomal RNA is filed under the name Hyderodes shuckardi. RNAcentral's name for it is "partial 16S ribosomal RNA". The stretch from base 384 to 507 matches the Rfam family "Bacterial large subunit ribosomal RNA", at positions 2473 to 2597 of the family's 2925-position model. Lineage: Eukaryota; Metazoa; Arthropoda; Insecta; Coleoptera; Dytiscidae. The record is from RNAcentral.
GUCCUUUGAUAUUAAUUUAAGGUCUAACCUGCCCACUGAAAUUUAAAUGGCCGCAGUAAUUUGACUGUGCAAAGGUAGCAUAAUCAUUAGUUUUUUAAUUAAAAGCUUGUAUGAAGGGUUGGACGAGGUAAAAUCUGUCUCUAUUUAAUUUAUUAUAGAAUUUAAUUUUUAAGUUAAAAAGCUUAAAUAUUUUUAAAAGACGAGAAGACCCUAUAGAUCUUUAUAUUAUUAAUUUUAAUUUUAAUUUAGAAUAUUUUAUUUUUUAGUUUUAAUAUUAUUUUAUUGGGGUAAUAAAAAGAUUUAAUUAAUUCUUUUUUUAUUUAAACAUUUAUGAAUGAAUAUAUGAUCCAAUUAUUUUGAUUAUAAGAUUAAGUUACCUUAGGGAUAACAGCGUAAUUUUUUUAGAGAGUUCAUAUCGAUAAAAAAGUUUGCGACCUCGAUGUUGGAUUAAAAAUUAUCUUAGGUGCAGAAGUUUAAGAUUUUGGUCUGUUCGACCAUUAAAUUUUU